GACAGAGGGUGCAAACGUUGCUCGGAAUCACUGGGCGUAAAGGGCGUGUAGGCGGGAAGGAAAGUCAGAUGGGAAAUCCCUGGGCUCAACCCAGGAACUGCAUUUGAAACUCCCUUUCUUGAGUGUCGGAGAGGAAAGCGGAAUUCCUUGUGUAGAGGUGAAAUUCGUAGAUAUCAGGAGGACCCCCGGUGGCGAAGGCGGCUUUCUGGACGACAACUGACGCUGAGACGCGAAAUCGUGGGGAGCGAUCCGG
This 253-nucleotide ribosomal RNA is filed under the name uncultured bacterium. RNAcentral describes it as "partial 16S ribosomal RNA". It matches the Rfam family "Bacterial small subunit ribosomal RNA", at positions 524 to 776 of the family's 1533-position model. The record is from RNAcentral.